CGCCGGAUCGAUUUUUUAACGGCCUCACCUCAUCAGGCUCAUAACCUGAAGGCCGCAGGUUCAAAUCCUGCCCCCGCAACCA
This 82-nucleotide transfer RNA is filed under the name Ochrobactrum sp. J50. RNAcentral describes it as "tRNA-Met". The record is from RNAcentral. Lineage: Bacteria; Pseudomonadati; Pseudomonadota; Alphaproteobacteria; Hyphomicrobiales; Brucellaceae.